AUGACGGCAACAAAGGGACACUUGUUCAUAAACUUUAGUUUUGGGUUUUGAGAUUAAUUUUAGAGUGUCAUAAGCCAGGAGGAAAGUAACAAAAAAUGGUGAAAACUUCCAAGAUUGUACAAGAAAUUUACAAAAUCGCAUCAGGCUCAAGGGAGAAACUAUUACCUACAAGACUGAGUCAGCUUUUUUUGCCUGCUAAUACAAAUCUGUUAGAUACUAAAGCCCAGAUUGAAGGAAACUGUAAGAGCCAGCGGAUAUUGCAAACACAAGGUAUAGUUAUUCCAGCAGGCCCAGGUACAUUUCAUCUUCUACCCCUAGCAAGCAAAGCAAUGAAUAAACUCAUAGAUAUUGUGGAUAAAGAAAUGAAAAAAAUUGGAGGUCAGAAAAUAUUCAUGCCAUGUUUAACUACUGGAGACUUAUGGAAAACUUCAGAGCGAUGGGUGAAUAUUGGGGCAGAACUGUUUAAGCUGAAGGACAGACAAGAUCGGGAUAUUUGUCUAGGACCAACUCAUGAAGAAGCUGUAACAUCUCUUGUAUCAUCACUACCAAAUUUGUCCUACAAACAAUUACCAUUGAAACUUUACCAGAUCACUGCAAAGUUUCGUGAUGAAAUGAGGCCUCGAUUUGGUUUGUUGAGAGCAAGAGAAUUCUACAUGAAAGACAUGUACAGCUUUGAUAUAUCAGAGGAAGAAGCUCAGUCCACUUAUGCUGAAGUCUGUGAAGCUUAUGAUAGGAUAUUCAAGCAGCUCUGUUUACAUGUUGUGAAAGUUCAGGGGCUGACAGGAAACAUAGGAGGAAAGUAUUCUCAUGAAUACCAUGUCUUGUCAGAGAUAGGAGAAGACCAACUACAACUGUGUACCAGCUGUGACUUUAGAACAAAUGUUGAGCUGCAAGAGACUAUAUCAGUUUGUCCUAUGUGUAAAUCACAUAUGAAGAAAAGUCAAGGAAUAGAAGUUGGUCACGCCUUCUAUCUAGGCUCUGUUUAUAGUGAAGCAUUCAAUGCACAAUAUAUCAACAAGAAAGGAAAACCAGAGCUGCUACAGAUGUGCUGCUACGGUCUUGGAAUUACACGACUUAUGUCGGCUAGUAUUGAAGCUUUAUCAUCAAAAGACAAACUACAGUGGCCUUUAAAGCUUGCUCCUUAUUUAGUAUGUGUGAUACUACCAAAGGCAGCAAGGAAGAAAAAAGCUGUCUGUUUGGAGAACACGUUGCUAUGGCAUUAGCUGACUUCCCUGGUUUAGCAGACAAUGUUGUCAUAGAUGAUCGAACACAGCUGACCAUUGGUCGAAGAAUUUUAGACUGUGCCUCCUUAGGAUUUCCUUAUCUGGUUGUUGUAGGAAAACAGUCUGUGGAAGCACUUCCAAAAAUUGAGAUUCAUGAUGUUUACAACGAUAAAGUCCAUGUUCUAACGCAUGCAGAGACGAUGGAUUUUUUCAGGGAAAAUUGUGCAUC
This 1452-nucleotide unclassified non-coding RNA is filed under the name Limulus polyphemus (Atlantic horseshoe crab). RNAcentral describes it as "probable proline--tRNA ligase, mitochondrial, transcript variant X2". The record is from RNAcentral. Lineage: Eukaryota; Metazoa; Arthropoda; Merostomata; Xiphosura; Limulidae.